CCCUUAGAUGUUCUGGGCUGCACGCGCGCUACACUGACACACUCAGCGAGUCACCUGAUCUGAGAAGACCGGGCAAUCAUGUGAGCGUGUGUCGUGAUGGGGAUAGAAUAUUGUAAUUAUUACUCUUCAACGAGGAAUUCCUAGUAAGCGCGAGUCAGCAGCUCGCGCUGAUUACGUCCCUGCCCUUUGUACACACCGCCUGUCGCUCCUACCGAUUGAAUGUUCCGGUGAGCUCUUCGGACUGCGCGGUCUGCAGUUUCUGCGUUCCGUGCGGAAAGUUGCGCAAACCUUAACAUUUAGAGGAAGGAGAAGUCGUAACA
This 320-nucleotide ribosomal RNA is filed under the name uncultured eukaryote. RNAcentral describes it as "partial 18S ribosomal RNA". It matches the Rfam family "Eukaryotic small subunit ribosomal RNA", at positions 1470 to 1796 of the family's 1831-position model. The record is from RNAcentral.